GGGGGAUAUUGCGCAAUGGGGGCAACCCUGACGCAGCAACGCCGCGUGAAGGAUGAAGGUUUUCGGAUUGUAAACUUCUUUUAUUAAGGACGAAAAAUGACGGUACUUAAUGAAUAAGCUCCGGCUAACUACGUGCCAGCAGCCGCGGUAAUACGUAGGGAGCAAGCGUUGUCCGGAUUUACUGGGUGUAAAGGGUGCGUAGGCGGCUUUGCAAGUCAGAUGUGAAAUCUAUGGGCUCAACCCAUAAACUGCAUUUGAAACUGUAGAGCUUGAGUGAAGUAGAGGCAGGCGGAAUUCCCCGUGUAGCGGUGAAAUGCGUAGAGAUGGGGAGGAACACCAGUGGCGAAGGCGACCUACUGGGCACCAACUGACGCUGAGGCUCGAAAGCAUGGGUAGCAAACAGGAUUAGAUACCCUGGUAGUCCAUGCCGUAAACGAUGAUUACUAGGUGUUGGAGGAUUGACCCCUUCAGUGCCGCAGUUAACACAAUAAGUAAUCCACCUGGGGAGUACGACCGCAAGGUUGAAACUCAAAGGAAUUGACGGGGGCCCGCACAAGCAGUGGAGUAUGUGGUUUAAUUCGAAGCAACGCGAAGAACCUUACCAGGUCUUGACAUCCGAUGCAUAGCUUAGAGAUAAGUGAAGUCCUUCGGGACAUCGAGACAGGUGGUGCAUGGUUGUCGUCAGCUCGUGUCGUGAGAUGUUGGGUUAAGUCCCGCAACGAGCGCAACCCUUAUUGCCAGUUACUACGAAAGAGGACUCUGGCGAGACUGCCGUUGACAAAACGGAGGAAGGUGGGGAUGACGUCAAAUCAUCAUGCCCUUUAUGACCUGGGCUACACACGUACUACAAUGGCGUUUAACAAAGAGAAGCAAGACCGCGAGGUGGAGCAAAACUCAAAAACAACGUCUCAGUUCAGAUUGCAGGCUGCAACUCGCCUGCAUGAAGUCGGAAUUGCUAGUAAUCGCGGAUCAGCAUGCCGCGGUGAAUACGUUCCCG
RNAcentral lists this ribosomal RNA (997 nucleotides) under uncultured organism. RNAcentral's name for it is "bacterial SSU rRNA". It matches the Rfam family "Bacterial small subunit ribosomal RNA", at positions 356 to 1376 of the family's 1533-position model. The record is from RNAcentral.